Molecule: ribosomal RNA, 447 nt
Filed under: uncultured bacterium
Lineage: Bacteria
Description: bacterial SSU rRNA
Rfam family: Bacterial small subunit ribosomal RNA
Source: RNAcentral
UGCCAGACUCCUACGGGAGGCAGCAGUGGGGAAUAUUGCACAAUGGGCGAAAGCCUGAUGCAGCGACGCCGCGUGAAGGAUGAAGUAUUUCGGUAUGUAAAGCUCUAUCAGCAGGGAAGAAAAAAGACGGUACCUGACUAAGAAGCCCCGACUAACUACGUGCCAGCAGCCGCGGUAAUACGUAGGGGGCAAGCGUUAUCCGGAUUUACUGGGUGUAAAGGGAGCGUAGACGGCAUAGCAAGUCUGAAGUGAAAGCCCGUGGCUCAACCGCGGAACUGCAUUUGAAACUGUCAGUCUUGAGUACCGGAGAGGUCAUCGGAAUUCCUUGUGUAGCGGUGAAAUGCGUAGAUAUAAGGAAGAACACCAGUGGCGAAGGCGGAUGACUGGACGGCAACUGACGGUGAGGCGCGAAAGCGUGGGGAGCAAACAGGAUUAGAUACCCGAGUA